AAUUCGUUUUCUGCUGAAUUUCUGAAUGUAUAGAAGGAUUUCAUGUCUGCAGAUAAUGUAUUACAAGAGGCUGUUGUGUGCCAGUGGACAAGCUGGUGAGAAGCUGAACACUAAUAGCUUGAAUCCUGGUGAAUGGACUGCCUGCAUAAGCGUCGUCAUGAUUUUUCCACGUGUAAUAUGAAUGCAAGCCAGUUUGCCUUAAAGCAUCCCUUCUUGGAAAAUAUCUUCUAGUGUUUCAUCACAAAAAUCAGUCAAAAACUGUUUCUCAUGAUUUGAAAAAUACGUAUAAAGGAAGUCAAAUUUAAUUGAUAAAUUGUGCAUGCUGAGAUUGUAUACUAUAUCAUAUACAUUUUUAAUAUAUUUUCUGUAUCUCUAAUGUUGAGAAUUUUGAUGUUUUAAUUUAACCCUGAAUAAAAUGUUAAGUACUAUAAGCAAAGUAAGCAGUAUUGUAUUUGAUGUCAGAACAAUAUUUUUUUUUUUUUUAUUUUAUACUUGUAUAUUUUUGCUUAUGAUUGGAAUUUUAGUACAAAUUAUUUUGGCAUGAUGUGGCCUGUUCUCAUUUAAAAUGCAUUUUGUAUUUUUUUCUUCUGUUAUUUGCAUUAUAAUAGUUUGGCCAUAACAACUAUGGAUGCCAAAUCAACAUGUAUGGGAAUAACUGUAUUAAAUUUUGAGAAAACCU
Molecule: long non-coding RNA, 679 nt
Organism: Stegodyphus dumicola
Lineage: Eukaryota; Metazoa; Arthropoda; Arachnida; Araneae; Eresidae
Source: RefSeq, a predicted model, not a curated record